AAGUCCAUGAUGUGGACAUUUUCAAAACAACUCUCUCAACUGUUCCCAAGGUUCAUACAACGAUUUCCCAUCAAAUUGACUAAAACUAGUAAUAUCUAUUCUAAAUUU
This is a small nucleolar RNA of Coffea arabica (coffee), 108 nucleotides long. Lineage: Eukaryota; Viridiplantae; Streptophyta; Magnoliopsida; Gentianales; Rubiaceae. The record is from RefSeq and is a predicted model, not a curated record.